ACUAUCUCUCCAAAAUGAGAGUAGGAGGAGAAACAAUCUCACUGCUAAAUCCAAUGGAGGAAAGGAUACUGGGAAAAUAGAAUAAAAUAAAACUUUAUUAAGAUUUAUUUUAUUCUAUUUUCCCAGUAUCCUUUCCUCCAUUGGAUUUAGCAGUGAGAUUGUUUCUCCUCCUACUCUCAUUUUGGAGAGAUAGUG
Molecule: small nucleolar RNA, 195 nt
Filed under: Pelobates cultripes (western spadefoot toad)
Lineage: Eukaryota; Metazoa; Chordata; Amphibia; Anura; Pelobatidae
Source: RNAcentral